AAUAGUUUUUUAAAUGGAAACUGGGAUGAAAGAAGUGAUGAGGCUUAUACUGUCUUAAGUUAAAUAAUUGAAUUUAUUUAUUAAGUAAAAAUACUUAAAUAUAAAUAUGGGACGAGAAGACCCUAUAGAAUUUUAUAUAGAGUUAUUAGAGGAGUUUAGUUAAAUAUUAAUAAGUUUAUAUUUUAUUGGGAGGAUAGUUAAAUUAUAAAAACUUUAAUAGUAUUUAGACAUUAAUGUAUGAGUAUAAAAAUUAAGGAAUGGCUAAUAGGUUUGAGUAGAAUUAAUUACCUUAGGGAUAACAGCGUAAUAUUUUUAGAGAGAUCUUAUUAAUAAAAAUGAUUGC
This 343-nucleotide ribosomal RNA is filed under the name Pheidole sp. ALM022. RNAcentral describes it as "partial 16S large subunit ribosomal RNA". The record is from RNAcentral. Lineage: Eukaryota; Metazoa; Arthropoda; Insecta; Hymenoptera; Formicidae.